Sciurus carolinensis (gray squirrel) is the source of this 135-nucleotide small nuclear RNA. RefSeq annotates it as U4 spliceosomal RNA. The transcript has a single exon. The record is from RefSeq and is a predicted model, not a curated record. Lineage: Eukaryota; Metazoa; Chordata; Mammalia; Rodentia; Sciuridae.
AGCUUUGCACAGUGGCAGUAUCAUAGACAAUGAGGUUUAUCUGAGGGGCGAUUAUUGCUAAUUGAAAACUUUUCCUAAUACCCCACCAUGAAGACUUGCAAUAUAGUCAGCAUUGGCACUAAAAAAAAAAAAAUU